CGGCGAGUGAAGCGGCAACAGCUCAAAUUUGAAAUCUGGCCCUUUCAGGGUUCGAGUUGUAAUUUGUAGAGGGUGUUUCGGGCGCGGCGCCGGUCUAAGUCCCUUGGAACAGGGCGUCAUAGAGGGUGAGAAUCCCGUAUGUGACCGGUGAUCAACCCCAUGUGAAAUCCCUUCGACGAGUCGAGUUGUUUGGGAAUGCAGCUCAAAAUGGGUGGUAAAUUUCAUCUAAAGCUAAAUACCGGCCAGAGACCGAUAGCGCACAAGUAGAGUGAUCGAAAGAUGAAAAGCACUUUGGAAAGAGAGUCAAAAAGUACGUGAAAUUGUUGAAAGGGAAGCGCUUGCAACCAGACCUGCCCGUGAGCGAUCAGCCUCCGCUCGCCGGGGGUGCACUCGUUCGCGAUCAGGCCAGCAUCGGUUUGGGCGGCGGGAUAAAGACCUCAGGAAUGUAGCUCCUCUCGGGGAGUGUUAUAGCCUCUGGUGCAAUGCCGCCAGCCCGGACCGAGGACCGCGCUUCGGCUAGGAUGCUGGCGUAAUGGUUGUAAGCGACCCGUCUUGAAACACGGACCAAGGAGUUGAACAUCUAUGCGAGUGUUUGGGCGUCAAACCCAUACGCGCAAUGAAAGUGAACGGAGGUGAGAACCCUUGAGGGCGCAUCAUCGACCGAUCCAGAUGUCUUCGGAUGGAUUUGAGUACGAGCAUAGCUGUUCUGACCCGAAAGAUGGUGAACUAUACUUGAAUAGGGUGAAGCCAGAGGAAACUCUGGUGGAGGCUCGCAGCGGUUCUGACGUGCAAAUCGAUCGUCAAAUUUGGGUAUAGGGUAUGUUUUAUGUUUCGUGAGCGGCAAUGGAUGGUGGCUAACUGAUAUUUUAGGGCGAAAGACUAAUCGAACCAUCUUGCUAGGUGGUUGACAAGUUGAGUGGGUGAUUCGUGAAGAGUCUCCCACCGUUAGUCCCUCCGGGGCGACAUCACUACUUGCAUGAACACCUUCGGCGCGAUAGCGAACGGGAGGUUGAUAUGCAGCAGUCAGGCUUCCGAGUCUUCUGUUCACAGACCAAAUAGUGGUGGCCGGGUCUUUUGAGGGGCCUGGUUUAGAAAUGGCCGAGUCCUACUCGUUCAGUCGAGUUGGCUCCCCGCCAGGCGUUCGCCUCGCUUGUGAGCCGCAGGUUACGACGCUAGUAGCUGGUUCCUGCCGAAGUUUCCCUCAGGAUAGCAGUAACGUUUUCAGUUUUAUGAGGUAAAGCGAAUGAUUAGAGGCCUUGGGGUUGAAACAACCUUAACCUAUUCUCAAACUUUAAAUAUGUAA
This 1303-nucleotide ribosomal RNA is filed under the name Lecanora sp. Its description in RNAcentral is "partial large subunit ribosomal RNA". It matches the Rfam family "Eukaryotic large subunit ribosomal RNA", at positions 87 to 1076 of the family's 3401-position model. The record is from RNAcentral. Lineage: Eukaryota; Fungi; Ascomycota; Lecanoromycetes; Lecanorales; Lecanoraceae.